Molecule: long non-coding RNA, 749 nt
Organism: Rhagoletis zephyria (snowberry fruit fly)
Lineage: Eukaryota; Metazoa; Arthropoda; Insecta; Diptera; Tephritidae
Source: RefSeq, a predicted model, not a curated record
AAAGCGGCAACGCAAAUUUUGAACACUGUACUUUAGUAUUUUUCAGCAGUGUAGAACGCAAAAACAUUAAAGAAAAACAAAAGGAAAAACAGGCACAUCCACAUCCAAUAUGUUAAAGCGACCACAGCUAAGCAUAGAGCCACCAACCAGCAUGUGGCAGUGCAUACAGCACAAGAACAGGCAGCAGCCGACACCAGACCAGGCCAGGCCACUCUCAGAACAACGGAGACGUUGUUGCUGACUCUGAGAGACAGCAAAGAAUAUAUUAAAAAUACAACAUGCAGGCUAUAUGGAGAAGGUAAGCAAGACAGGCAGGCAGACAGACAGACAGGCAGGACUGGCAUCCGACCGGGCCAAGCGAGUUUCAAGUGUAGAGAGAAGAGCACGAGCGCGCAUACGCCAAAGUUGCUAAUAUAUUUUUAUGUUUAAUGCUCGAAGGAGUAGAGCGCGACCAGUAUGAGUGGCAAGCGCUUUUAAUGGUGGUUAAACAACAUUGAUUGCGACCCGAAGACAUUAAUAAAACUACAAUAUGGCGCAUAGGGAAAAAAAUAAUAAAAAAGUAUCCACUUAAAUAAAUUUGUCCAUGUAUGCGUGCAACAGCAGGAGUCAGGCCAUAAAAAAAAUAAUGAACGAAAAGGAAGGCAAGUAUAAGGCGUUGAGAAAAAAGUUUAAAUAAAUAUGCUUAAGCACAUUCCUUGUGGGACGAUGCAGCAAAAACCGACGAGAGCUUAAAAACAGAUUUAAAAAAA